RNAcentral lists this ribosomal RNA (480 nucleotides) under uncultured bacterium. RNAcentral's name for it is "bacterial SSU rRNA". It matches the Rfam family "Bacterial small subunit ribosomal RNA", at positions 330 to 801 of the family's 1533-position model. The record is from RNAcentral.
ACCGUACUCCUACGGGAGGCAGCAGUGGGGAAUUUUGGACAAUGGGGGCAACCCUGACGCAGCAACGCCGCGUGGGUGAUGAAGGCCUUCGGGUCGUAAAGCCCUGUCAGGUGGGAAGAAACCUGUGGAUGCUAAUAUCAUCCGCAAUUGACGGUACCGCCGAAGGAAGCACCGGCUAACUCCGUGCCAGCAGCCGCGGUAAUACGGAGGGUGCAAGCGUUGUUCGGAAUUAUUGGGCGUAAAGCGCGUGUAGGUGGUCGGGUAAGUCAGAUGUGAAAGCCUUCUGCUUAACAGAAGAAGUGCAUUUGAAACUACCCGGCUAGAGUACGGGAGAGGAGAGUGGAAUUCCCGGUGUAGAGGUGAAAUUCGUAGAUAUCGGGAGGAACACCAGUGGCGAAGGCGGCUCUCUGGUCCGAUACUGACGCUGAGACGCGAAAGCGUGGGGAGCAAACAGGAUUAGAAACCCGUGUAGUCCUUGAC